GGGCCCUUAGCUCAGUUGGUAGAGCACCUGACUUUUAAUCAGGGUGUCGAUGGUUCGAAUCCAUCAGGGCCCACCA
This 76-nucleotide transfer RNA is filed under the name Candidatus Finniella inopinata. RNAcentral's name for it is "tRNA-Lys". It matches the Rfam family "tRNA". From Rfam's summary of the family: Transfer RNA (tRNA) molecules are approximately 80 nucleotides in length. Lineage: Bacteria; Pseudomonadati; Pseudomonadota; Alphaproteobacteria; Holosporales; Candidatus Paracaedibacteraceae. The record is from RNAcentral.